ACUUCCCCCAAAAACAUUAUCCAUUCUGAUCUUUGCUGCUUCUAGGAACUGCUCUUGGAGGGGGCUUUGAUGUUAUAAAUCAGCAGAGAGGAGGAGAGUGGCUUGCCAGAUUCUGUGCAGUUUGUGUGUCGGCAUGAGAACCCUCGCUCACCUCAUUCUAACAUGCAAGGAAGAGGAAAUACAAGUACAGUGGUGCCUCGCAUUACGACUGUUACGAUUUUUAAGGAAAAAAUCCAGAAAACUUGCAUUCCAGUCUCCUGGAGCUGCUGCCAGGUUAGAGCAGAGAUAAUAAAGAAAUACAUGUUUGAGAAUGUUAACUGACUGUCUGGACUAAGGUCGGAAUAUAUAGUAAUUGGCCGCUGAAUUAAAGUUUCUUCAAUUGUUUUAUUUUGUUUGUGUUUUAAAUUGCAGAUGAAUGUGGAAAUGGGAUGGAAGAAAAUUUGAGUGAGCACAUUCAAAAGGAAAUCCUGAGAUGUCUGCCUUCAAUCCAAAAUGAUUAAUAGCUUGAAACUCACAACCUCAGUAACAUUUUUAUAUAUCAACUGAAUAAGGAUUCCUUCAAUUGUUCAGUGAAAUCAAGC
This 581-nucleotide long non-coding RNA is filed under the name Pogona vitticeps (central bearded dragon). Its description in RNAcentral is "lncRNA (ENSPVIG00000001697.1)". Lineage: Eukaryota; Metazoa; Chordata; Lepidosauria; Squamata; Agamidae. The record is from RNAcentral.